Molecule: ribosomal RNA, 382 nt
Filed under: uncultured eukaryote
Lineage: Eukaryota
Description: partial 18S ribosomal RNA
Rfam family: Eukaryotic small subunit ribosomal RNA
Source: RNAcentral
UGUAAGCGUAUACCAAAGUUGUUGCAGUUAAAACGCUCGUAGUCGGAAUUUGGCAGUUCCGGAUGUGUGCACGUCGUGUGCGCACUUCGCGGGGAUUGCUUUUGUGGUCUUGCGUAGGAUGAGGCACUUUUAUUAGUGAACGUCCUCACGCAACCACUUUUUACUGUGAGAAAAUCAGAGUGCUCAAAGCAGGCAUUUGCCGUGAAUGUAUUAGCAUGGAAUAAUAGAAUAGGACUCGGUUCUAUUUUGUUGGUUUGUUGGGACUGAGUAAUGAUUAAGAGGGACAGUUGGGGGCAUUUGUAUUCCGGCGCUAGAGGUGAAAUUCCUAGAUUGCCGGAAGACAAACUGCUGCGAAAGCGUCUGCCAAGGAUGUUUUCAUUGA